UAGUCAUAUGCUUGUCUCAAAGAUUAAGCCAUGCAUGUCCAAGUAUAAAUCUUUAUACGGUGAAACUGCGAAUGGCUCAUUAAAUCAGUUAUAAUUUAUUUGAUAGUACCUUACUACUUGGAUAACCGUGGUAAUUCUAGAGCUAAUACAUGCAUCAAGGCCCAACUUUUUGAAGGGCUGUAUUUAUUAGGUUAAAACCAAUGCUAGUCAAAUAGCUUCAUGGUGAUUCAUAAUAACUUCUCGGAUCGUAUGACCUUGUGUCGACGACGUAUCAUUC
RNAcentral lists this ribosomal RNA (277 nucleotides) under uncultured eukaryote. Its description in RNAcentral is "partial 18S ribosomal RNA". It matches the Rfam family "Eukaryotic small subunit ribosomal RNA", at positions 21 to 300 of the family's 1831-position model. The record is from RNAcentral.